CGGCCCGCGGUAUAGAAGGGCCGGCGGGGCAGGUGCGGGCGGUUGUGUGUGAGGGCUGAGGGUGCGGCCCCGCUGCUGCCCGGGCUGCGGAGGGGAGAGCGCCUUGGCCGCUGGCCUGGCUCGUGGUUUCCCCUGGUGCUGGGGAGUGGAGGCGAGUUGUGCUUCCUGCUGGGAGAGAGAACGGCCUUGGGAAGCUGCUCCAUGACCCACAGCUGUGCCGAGCCCGGGAGUCUGUCCAGGGAGGCAGUUUGCAAGGACAGGUGGUUGCUGUGCUCUCUAGCAAAAAUAGUCCCCUUGGGAUGUCCAGGGUGAGGAAAUGUUGGCCACGUGUGGGCUGGAGCAAAGACUUCACAAAGCUCCCAGGAAAGGAAG
Long non-coding RNA from Corapipo altera (White-ruffed manakin), 372 nucleotides. RefSeq lists it as uncharacterized. The record is from RefSeq and is a predicted model, not a curated record. The transcript has 4 exons. Lineage: Eukaryota; Metazoa; Chordata; Aves; Passeriformes; Pipridae.